Molecule: transfer RNA, 97 nt
Filed under: Nostoc sp. FACHB-133
Lineage: Bacteria; Bacillati; Cyanobacteriota; Cyanophyceae; Nostocales; Nostocaceae
Description: tRNA-Cys
Rfam family: tRNA
About the family: Transfer RNA (tRNA) molecules are approximately 80 nucleotides in length. Their secondary structure includes four short double-helical elements and three loops (D, anti-codon, and T loops). Further hydrogen bonds mediate the characteristic L-shaped molecular structure. tRNAs have two regions of fundamental functional importance: the anti-codon, which is responsible for specific mRNA codon recognition, and the 3' end, to which the tRNAs corresponding amino acid is attached (by aminoacyl-tRNA synthetases). tRNAs cope with the degeneracy of the genetic code in two manners: having more than one tRNA (with a specific anti-codon) for a particular amino acid; and 'wobble' base-pairing, i.e. permitting non-standard base-pairing at the 3rd anti-codon position.
Source: RNAcentral
GUCCAGGUCGCCUAACAGUAGGGUAUUGGUCUGCAAAACCGACUGUGCGAGUACCCUUCGGGAACGCUAACGCGAACGACUCUCGCCCUGGACUCCA